This is an RNA transcript of Juglans microcarpa x Juglans regia, 748 nucleotides long. It is a transcript of the gene named dormancy-associated protein 2-like, with no coding region annotated. The record is from RefSeq and is a predicted model, not a curated record. NCBI's taxonomy places the organism in Eukaryota, Viridiplantae, Streptophyta, Magnoliopsida, Fagales, Juglandaceae. The transcript has 3 exons.
CUCCCUCCCUCCCUUUCAUUUCUAUAAAUGGGGAGAGCCACACUACAGACUCAAUAUCCUUCACUCAACAGAGUUAUCUUCCAAUUAAAGAGUCUUUCCCAGGUUCAUUGUCCGAUUCUCUAAGUUGUUAAGGAAAAUGGCUUCCUCCAAGGUUUUUCUUCUUCUCGGUCUUGCCUUUGCCGUUGUUCUCCUGGUCUCAGCUCGUGAGCUCGCUGAGACUACUCAAACCCAGGAGGCUGUACAAACUGACUCUGUGGAGGAUGCCAAGUAUGGUGGCCAUGGGUAUGGCCACGGCUACGGACACGGCCACGGUCACGGACACGGUAAACCAGGUCAUGGUGGUCACCCAGGACAUGGUGCUGCUGGCGAAACUGAAACCGACCAAAACUAGACAAAUCCCUUACAUAUGGUGUCUGCAUGGAUGGGUUUAGUAAUAAGAUGUACUAGUAAUCUAAGCUUGUAUGCCAAUAAGGUCGCUGGAUGUCUGUGGGUCAUGUAUAAGCUUUAUCUUUGUACUUUUGUCGUGUUUCUCUCUGCUUUUUAUUAUUAAUCGUAACGUGCUUAAUCCUAAUCCUAAUUGGUGUCAGAAUGUCUUGUUUUUCUUCGACCUAUCGUUUCGAUUGCCAUUUGAUUCUCUCGAUGGCUGAUUUUCCUUUUCUUUUUCUUUUUAUUAUUAAGAAACAUAGAUUUAAAUAAAUAAAUAAAUAAAAAGUAGAUCCCAAUAUUAUUAAUUAGUGCAAAAUAUGAG